Molecule: ribosomal RNA, 278 nt
Filed under: uncultured prokaryote
Description: partial 16S ribosomal RNA
Rfam family: Bacterial small subunit ribosomal RNA
Source: RNAcentral
CACGGGGGUUGCGAGCGUUGUCCGGAAUUACUAGGCGUAAAGGGCAGGCAGGCGGAUCCAUAAGUUUAUCGUUUAAGGCGUCGGCUUAACCGGCGUAGGGCGGUAGAUACUGUGGAUCUGGAAUGCGGUUGGGGAAGACAGAAUUCCUGGUGUAGCGGUGGAAUGCGCAGAUAUCGGGAGGAAUACCGAAGGCGAAGGCAGUCUUCCAAGCCGUUAUUGACGCUCAACUGCGAAGGUGUGGGUAUCAAACAGGAUUAGAUACCCGCGUAGUCCCUGAG